This 784-nucleotide ribosomal RNA is filed under the name Uria aalge inornata. RNAcentral describes it as "partial 16S ribosomal RNA". It matches the Rfam family "Bacterial large subunit ribosomal RNA", at positions 861 to 2274 of the family's 2925-position model. The record is from RNAcentral. Lineage: Eukaryota; Metazoa; Chordata; Aves; Charadriiformes; Alcidae.
GAAAUGAAUCUUAGUUCUCUCUUGAUCCCCUCCUCCUGACAAUCUAGCUUUAAUCCUUAUGUAGCAGGUCAAGAGUAAUUUAAAGGAGGUACAGCUCCUUUAAAAAAGGAUACAACCUCCAUUAGUGGAUAACCACCUAGACUCCUUCUAUAAACUGUAGGCCUUCAAGCAGCCACCAAUAAAGAGUGCGUCAAAGCUCUACCUAAAAAAAUCCAAUAACAAUACGACUCCCUUACCCACUAACAGGUUAACCUACGCCAGUAGAAGCAUCAAUGCUAAAAUGAGUAACCAGGGACCUUCCUCUCAAGCGCAAACUUACACUAUCCCGUUAUUAACAGACAGAAGCCAAUACCUCAAUUACAACAAGACUAAGAUAUUAACCUACUCUGUUACCCCGACUAAGGAGCGCCUACUAGAAAGAUUAAAAUCUGUAAAAGGAACUAGGCAAACCCAAGGCCCGACUGUUUACCAAAAACAUAGCCUUCAGCCCACCGAGUAUUGAAGGUGAUGCCUGCCCAGUGACAUAAUGUUUAACGGCCGCGGUAUCCUAACCGUGCGAAGGUAGCGCAAUCAAUUGUCUCAUAAAUCGAGACUUGUAUGAAUGGCUAAACGAGGUCUUAACUGUCUCUUACAGAUAAUCAGUGAAAUUGAUCUUCCCGUGCAAAAGCGAGAAUUGUAACAUAAGACGAGAAGACCCUGUGGAACUUAAAAAUCAGCGGCCACUAUAUACAAAUUUAAGCCUAUUAGGCUCACUACCAUUAGACACUGGUCCGCAUUUUUCGGU